UGGGGAAUUUUGGACAAUGGGCGAAAGCCUGAUCCAGCAAUGCCGCGUGUGUGAAGAAGGCCUUCGGGUUGUAAAGCACUUUUGUCCGGAAAGAAAUCCUCUGGGUUAAUACCUCGGGGGGAUGACGGUACCGGAAGAAUAAGCACCGGCUAACUACGUGCCAGCAGCCGCGGUAAUACGUAGGGUGCAAGCGUUAUCGGAAUUACUGGGCGUAAAGCGUGCGCAGGCGGUUUUGUAAGACGGAUGUGAAAUCCCCGGGCUUAACCUGGGAACUGCAUUCGUGACUGCAAGGCUAGAGUAUGGCAGAGGGGGGUAGAAUUCCACGUGUAGCAGUGAAAUGCGUAGAGAUGUGGAGGAAUACCGAUGGCGAAGGCAGCCCCCUGGGCCAAUACUGACGCUCAUGCACGAAAGCGUGGGGAGCAAACAGGAUUAGAUACCCUGGUAGUCCACGCCCUAAACGAUGUCAACUAGUUGUUGGGGAUUCAUUUCCUUAGUAACGUAGCUAACGCGUGAAGUUGACCGCCUGGGGAGUACGGUCGCAAGAUUAAAACUCAAAUGAAUUGACGGGGUCAUAGCUGUUUCCU
This 584-nucleotide ribosomal RNA is filed under the name uncultured bacterium. RNAcentral describes it as "partial 16S ribosomal RNA". It matches the Rfam family "Bacterial small subunit ribosomal RNA", at positions 355 to 1375 of the family's 1533-position model. The record is from RNAcentral.